GCCUACGGCCAUACCACGUUGAACACACCGGUUCUCGUCCGAUCACCGAAGUUAAGCAACGUCGGGCCCGGUUAGUACUUGGAUGGGUGACCGCCUGGGAACACCGGGUGCUGUAGGCA
RNAcentral lists this ribosomal RNA (119 nucleotides) under Pomacea canaliculata. Lineage: Eukaryota; Metazoa; Mollusca; Gastropoda; Architaenioglossa; Ampullariidae. The record is from RNAcentral.